UACGUAGGGUGCGAGCGUUGUCCGGAAUUAUUGGGCGUAAAGAGCUCGUAGGCGGUGUGUCGCGUCGGUCGUGAAAACUUGGGGCUUAACUCUGAGCUUGCGGUCGAUACGGGCAUCACUGGAGUUCGGCAGGGGAGACUGGAAUUCCUGGUGUAGCGGUGAAAUGCGCAGAUAUCAGGAGGAACACCGGUGGCUAAGGCGGCUCUCUAGUACGGUACUGACGCUGAGACGCGAAAGCGUGGGGAGCGAACAGG
Molecule: ribosomal RNA, 254 nt
Filed under: uncultured bacterium
Lineage: Bacteria
Description: partial 16S ribosomal RNA
Rfam family: Bacterial small subunit ribosomal RNA
Source: RNAcentral